AANGUACGGUCCUGCNGAAAAAGCGCCGGCUACUACGUGCCAGCAGCCGCGGUAAUACGUAGGGCGCAAGCGUUAUCCGGAAUUAUUGGGCGUAAAGAGCUCGUAGGCGGUUUGUCGCGUCUGCUGUGAAAUCUGGGGGCUCAACCCCCAGCCUGCAGUGGGUACGGGCAGACUAGAGUGCGGUGGGGGAGAUUGGAAUUCCUGGUGUAGCGGUGGAAUGCGCAGAUAUCAGGAGGAACACCGAUGGCGAAGGCAGAUCUCUGGGCCGUAACUGACGCUGAGGAGCGAAAGGGUGGGGAGCAAACAGGAUUAGAUACCCUGGUAGUCCAAGGGCGAAUUC
Molecule: ribosomal RNA, 340 nt
Filed under: uncultured bacterium
Lineage: Bacteria
Description: bacterial SSU rRNA
Rfam family: Bacterial small subunit ribosomal RNA
Source: RNAcentral